AGUGCAGCUUUGCGCAUAUGUGUUUACGUUUUACAGAAACGAAACUUAAAACCGCAUGGCUAAACUUACAUAAACAAAGCGCUCAUAAAACAGCUCGUUCCUAAUACGCGGUUCAGCUUCUCUCGGACUUAAAAAGAACACGACUCAGUGGAAUAUGAGUGUUCUUUCUAUGACAGAGUCACGUUGUACUAAUGGAUGGCGGCAUGCAUAGAGAGACACACCUGCUCCAUCUAUACAGACACACAGAUGCAAAGCCCAGAACACAAACACCAUCUGGAUGAACUACUGACACGGUUGAACUGCUGCUGUCUCAUGGUGCAUUUGGCUGAUUCACCGCUUCAGUCUGGAUUCAGGGCGUUCUUGUUUUUGAUCUCUCUGAAUGGAUUUGGACUCUGGACACUCUGCUCUUGUCUGUGCUCAUCGGUCACUGCCAGUGCUGCCACAACGCACCUCCAAGAUAAAGAGCCUCACCCAAAUCACAAGUAACUUCAGCUUUGUUUCUAUGCUCCAACUUUGAUGCAGCAUGCAAAAGUUGCACUAUGUAAUUUUCUUGGUGGAGAGUCUGUCACUCCAUAGAGAUCUUAUUACAACGGAUUGAAUUCCACAGUAUGGCGGUCACACUACAGGACUUUUUGGUUUUAAAGAAUUUUUAAACAUGCAACAAAAAGCGCACACCACAGACACAAGAAUAUUAUGAGAUUUUAAAUCUUUGAUUGCAAAGAGUGCUGCUGGAUAUGGCUUUUUUACCUCACGCUACACAGUUCACUGAAAAAAUUGUCCGAGAGGGAUUGCACAAAUUGCAAAAACAAAUUUGACAACAAUAACAUGACUUUUUUAUGUUUCUCUGUCCAGCAUGUUUAAAUCUUACAAAGGUCACUUGACUGUGGCCGAUGUCAGACCUGCAUGUUUUAAUCAGGUUGAGGAAACAUGACUUUAUUAUAAUCUCUGGUGAGGCUCCUCCCUCUGGAAUUCUCCUCCCCAAAACUUUUGGAGGGAAAAUUCAAAUGUAACAGGACACAGGACAGUUAGAUGAGCAGAGGACACACACUGUGGAGCAGGAGGAUUAUGAGAGCUGAUCUGGAGAGUCGUCUACAAACACAGAGUGACGUCCAGAGCUCUGCUGGAGCUGUGGGGAACUUCAUGAAUGUUAUAGCUGAUGUUUCAGGAAAAAGGAAGAUGUUUGAGAACCAACAAAACACAAAGCACAGAUGAACAAAGGUGAUGUGGCACUAGAGGACUUUAUACCAGAUGCCCUCCCUGUUACUGCAUUUAGAGGAAGAAAAGCAGCACACAUGAGUUUUUUUUCUGCAGAUACAGUUCUAAUGUUCACAUGAUUCUUUUCUGGUCCAUUAUUGUAGUAAUAAGUGCUUUAAGUGUAUUUAAACAUGUACAACAGAGUAGAUCAUCAGAAUGUGUUCAUCAUGUGUUAUUCCUGUGUCCACAGACAGAGACCAGAGUGUCUUCACUGGAAUAAAUCUUCACACUGUCC
Boleophthalmus pectinirostris (great blue-spotted mudskipper) is the source of this 1489-nucleotide long non-coding RNA. RefSeq lists it as uncharacterized. Lineage: Eukaryota; Metazoa; Chordata; Actinopteri; Gobiiformes; Gobiidae. The transcript is spliced from 5 exons. The record is from RefSeq and is a predicted model, not a curated record.